CCAAAGUGGUAUUUGAACAUGGUCACCUGAGCAUUACUUAAUACCAAUUCAAAUUAGUGGCUAUCGAGUUAUUUAAAUACUGAGUCUAUUCAUAUGGACCUUUAUUUAGAUCACCCAAAUUGUAUGGAUUGAAACUCACCAUCUCUUGCAAAUUAAUGAACAUAUAACAAUUCAAACAUGUCGAGGAGCAUUUAUUUUGGCAUGUUCAAUAGCAUGUUAC
RNAcentral lists this long non-coding RNA (220 nucleotides) under Actinidia chinensis (golden kiwifruit). Its description in RNAcentral is "long non-coding RNA (ACHI_LNC006931)". Lineage: Eukaryota; Viridiplantae; Streptophyta; Magnoliopsida; Ericales; Actinidiaceae. The record is from RNAcentral.